AUUGAACGCUGGCGGCAUGCCUUACACAUGCAAGUCGAACGGCAGCGGACCUUCGGGUGCCGGCGAGUGGCGAACGGGUGAGUAAUAUAUCGGAACGUACCUUUCAGUGGGGGAUAACGUAGCGAAAGUUACGCUAAUACCGCAUAUUCUGUGAGCAGGAAAGCAGGGGAUCGCAAGACCUUGCGCUGAUUGAGCGGCCGAUAUCAGAUUAGCUAGUUGGUGAGGUAAAGGCUCACCAAGGCGACGAUCUGUAGCGGGUCUGAGAGGAUGAUCCGCCACACUGGAACUGAGACACGGUCCAGACUCCUACGGGAGGCAGCAGUGGGGAAUUUUGGACAAUGGGCGCAAGCCUGAUCCAGCCAUGCCGCGUGAGGGAAGAAGGUCCUCUGGAUUGUAAACCUCUUUUGGCAGGAACAAACCUGCGCUAUACGCGCAGCUGAGGGUACCUGCAGAAUAAGCACCGGCUAACUCCGU
RNAcentral lists this ribosomal RNA (474 nucleotides) under uncultured bacterium. RNAcentral describes it as "bacterial SSU rRNA". It matches the Rfam family "Bacterial small subunit ribosomal RNA", at positions 30 to 506 of the family's 1533-position model. The record is from RNAcentral.